GAACUCUUUGGGAUGAAUCUCAAUCAUUCAGAACAACUUCUCGAGAAUGGUGGAAUUGCUAGCUUAUUUGGGAUAAAGGACAUGCCUGCUGCUGAUUAAGACUGUCAGACCACGGCAGCUGGUGCUGAGGGCUCAUCUGUUGGAUUGGUCAAUGCAAUUCAGCCAGCAUGCAGCAACGCGGCAUCUAGUGAUUCCAUGAUGAGUAAUAAAACCGAUUCAAUUCUGUAUUUUACCGCAAGGCAUGCCCAUCCAACAUUUUCUGGCCAAACUGGAGAGAGCACUGCAGGAGAUUACCAAGAUUGUGGGGCUUCCGCUAUGCUUCCCAUGGGAGAUCCUCCUUGGUGUACUCCAUGUGCUGAGAGCUCCAACCCAUCAGCAACUAGAAGUGAUGCUGCUUGCUCUACAAGGAAAAGAAGAAGACGCGAAUGUUUGAGAAGUGAGUGAGAUAUGAGUCUCGCAAAUCAAGGGCUGACGUGAGAAAGCGUGUGAAGGGACGAUUUGUCAAAGCUGGCAAUGCCUAUGAUUUUGAUCCAUUGAGCCCAACAAGAAGCUUUUGAGAGCUGUAUGGUUGUGCAUAAGGCUCCAGGUUUGUUUCAUCAGAAGUUGGAUGCUAAAAUGCCAUGAA
Molecule: long non-coding RNA, 625 nt
Organism: Hibiscus syriacus
Lineage: Eukaryota; Viridiplantae; Streptophyta; Magnoliopsida; Malvales; Malvaceae
Exons: 4
Source: RefSeq, a predicted model, not a curated record